UACAGAGGGUGCAAGCGUUGUUCGGAAUUACUGGGCGUAAAGCGCGUGUAGGUGGCGAUGUAAGUCGGGUGUGAAAUCCCUCAGCUUAACUGAGGAAGUGCACUCGAUACUGUGUCGCUUGAGUGUUGGAGGGGAUGGCGGAAUUCCCGGUGUAGAGGUGAAAUUCGUAGAUAUCGGGAGGAACACCUGUGGCGAAGGCGGCCAUCUGGACAACUACUGACACUGAGACGCGAAAGCGUGAGUAGCAAACAGG
RNAcentral lists this ribosomal RNA (253 nucleotides) under uncultured bacterium. Its description in RNAcentral is "partial 16S ribosomal RNA". It matches the Rfam family "Bacterial small subunit ribosomal RNA", at positions 524 to 776 of the family's 1533-position model. The record is from RNAcentral.